AUUUCAUUAUACAUGAUUUUUUUAUUUCAUUUCGUGUUUGAAUUCUUUGUUUAAAUUAUGACAGCUGAACUGAGAAAAAGCGUUAAAGAUUUAUUAAGCUGUACGACCCAAGGCAAGCUUAUUACUCAAAUUUUCGAAAAGGAUACUAUCAUCGAUACUCGAUUAAUAUGUAAUUUAAUAAUAAAUUACGAAUUUGAUUUCACUCGGUCUUAUAGGUAAAUAUCAACAGAUUGUUCGAAGGUGUAACAAAAUAAUUUUAUAAAAUAUUCAAUAUAGUGAAAUAAAAAGGGCCAUUUAGAAAUUUUAGGGAUCCUCUUAUAAGAUUUUUAAUUUAUUGCAUACAAAUUAUUUUCAAAAAUAAAAUUUUAUUUUAACAGAAUAACCAAGGAAAGGUUUGUGCAGCUAUCAAAUGAAUUAGGUGCAAUCUUUACAAGUGAAAAUCGGAAAGCUGACGAAAUAGCUCAAAUCUUUUAUUACCCGUUCACAAGAAGUACAAAAACUCGAAAAGCAAUAAAUUGUGGUGGGGCUUUAUAUGAUAAAUAUCUCAAUUAUAGACAAAAAUUAAUUGCGUAUGGCCUUGCAAAGAAGAACGAUUGUGACCAAGGAACAAUUUCACCCUUAUCUGAAGAAGAAAUUAUAAUUAAAUGGUUACAAGAAAAUGAUGAACCACAAGAUGAAGUAAUUAAAAAAUGGAGAGAGUCAUUUCCGUACAGAGAUCGAUGCAAGAAUGUUCUAAAUUACUUUGCCGCUUUCAAAUGUUUAUGUUCUUCUUUUGGAUACAUAUUACUGGAGCAAGACUUUGAUGCAACAUAUCCGACGUCAAUUGAUAAUUUGGAAAAAGAAUGGGAAACCUUAGCUCCACUGAUAGUUUCUAUUACUAAAGAAAAAAAAGGCUAAAUGCCAUCGACAAACAAUUAAUUGAAGCAGGGAAAACAAAUGUUGUUGCUCUUCUCUGUCUUCCUAGACUUUUGGGAAUUCUAGUUCGAAAAAGAAAAAAUUGUGAUUCAUAUUUUGGUAACUCGAUACAAGACGUGACAGACUCUUUUCUUCUUAUCACCAAGUCAAAAGAAGAACUAAUUGAUUUCAAAAAUAAACGAGAGGAACUUAGCACAGCGACGGGAAAUAAAAUUUUGCCUUACUUAGCUUUUGUCGGAGAUAUAGAAAAAGAAGGAGAAGUGGAAUCCGAAAAUGAGAUUGCACAAAAUUCUAGUACCGAAAUUUUCGUUGUCAUUAACAAUAUUGAUUACAAGAUGAAAUCAAACCAAAUUAUUAAAGCUGUUUCUGCUUGCUUCAAAUGUAUGCUUUCAUUAAAUUUGGAAUUUCCAUGUGAAUGCAAACAUAUCUGGACAUUUUUUCAGAAAUAUAUAUACCAAGUGGAAUUGAAUAAUUUAAAGCCAUAUACUUCUGUUAACAAACUGAUUGAAGAUAUAAAUGCAUUAAAAGAAAAAAAUAAUUCUACAAAUCUUGUAAAUUAAGAAAAAUUUGAUCAUUUGAAAUUCUAAAAGUAUAAAGUUUUCAUUUUUGUUAUA
This is a long non-coding RNA of Leptopilina boulardi, 1529 nucleotides long. RefSeq lists it as uncharacterized. Lineage: Eukaryota; Metazoa; Arthropoda; Insecta; Hymenoptera; Figitidae. The transcript has 5 exons. The record is from RefSeq and is a predicted model, not a curated record.